Molecule: long non-coding RNA, 1190 nt
Organism: Cheilinus undulatus (humphead wrasse)
Lineage: Eukaryota; Metazoa; Chordata; Actinopteri; Labriformes; Labridae
Exons: 5
Source: RefSeq, a predicted model, not a curated record
CACUGCAACACUGAGAGCUGCCUCGUGGAGAAAGUUUGGAGCAAACAAUAGACUGUUUCCCUGGUUUCAUUUCUGUUUCUAAGUUUCUCUUUGAGUUUAGUCGCGUGUUUAUGUUACAAAACAAUGAACUGUCAUCUGUGACUGAGGUUAAGCUGCAACAGCUAUUAUUGAUUGUCGCCAUCAGAGGACCAAGAUGAAGGUGUGGCGAUGACAGGAUCAACACCAUACCAUGGUCAGCAGAAAGGAUGGAGAUGGAGGGACACCUCUGAUACUGUUACGUGAAGAACAAACAGCAGCGUCGUUGGACAUUUGCAAAGUCCUACGGUCAAGACAUCAAGACAUCACAUCCUGCUCUUCUCAGACUGGGAAUCAAGCCUUACAUCUGUCCACUUUUGAAACAGCUUGAGCAGGUGCUUCAGUGUCUCUAAUCAGGACAACAAACCCAAGCUGAGACUCAGAUCCUCAGCAUGAUGGAGAGCUGCAGAAACCCACAGACUGUCCCUUCUAGUGUCUCCAGGACGAUCACGAUGUCUGGGCCUCUUCUCUCAGACGGGACAGACUCUGUCCUCACUGCAGCCCGGAUGGCCCGCAGAGGAUGGACGGACAACGAGAAGACCACCAAGUGGCAGUUCUCCCACAUGAACAGCUCACCUCUUCAAACGCCUGCUUCAAGUCCAGACAAAAACCAGGUUCAAAUCCGUGUUGAGGUUUUUCUGAAGGACGCUAAGAGAAGACAGAUUCCCAUCUUAAACAGCAGGACGACGGCUGAGGACAAAGAGAAUGAAAAAACAAAAGAAGAUAAAGAGACGAGUUUAGGUGCAUUUUUAUCGAAGAGACAAACAAAUACAACCACGGUUAGAGAGAAACAGAAGAUUGUCUGUGGUCAGGCGGGCGUCAUUUAUGUCUGGUCGUCUGGCUGUCGCACCAAAAGCAGAGCGUUCAGAAGGUCUAAGCCCCCCAUGCUGCCUGUGAUCGCUGAAAUAUGAUAUAAUGAGUUUAAGGAGAGCUAGCAUUUGGUUAUGCUUUAACCUGGUGUAAAAAAGAGAGCAGAAAUCUAGUCGACUAUAACCAAACCAGGAAAGAAGACAUGGAUGUCAUGAAGAUUUUUGUUGGACCAAAUAAAUGGAUAAAUUUAUUUAUGAUGCACCAUGUUGAUGCUGAUUUUGUUCAUUAAAAUAACAAAAUGAAAA